This 429-nucleotide ribosomal RNA is filed under the name Verrucomicrobiota bacterium. Its description in RNAcentral is "Verrucomicrobia bacterium partial 16S ribosomal RNA". It matches the Rfam family "Bacterial small subunit ribosomal RNA", at positions 355 to 776 of the family's 1533-position model. Lineage: Bacteria; Pseudomonadati; Verrucomicrobiota. The record is from RNAcentral.
UAGGGAAUCUUCCGCAAUGGACGCAAGUCUGACGGAGCAACGCCGCGUGAGUGAAGAAGGUUUUCGGAUCGUAAAACUCUGUUGUAAGAGAAGAACAAAUUGUAGAGUAACUGCUACAGUCUUGACGGUAUCUUACCAGAAAGCCACGGCUAACUACGUGCUAGCAGCCGCGGUAAUACGUAGGUGGCAAGCGUUGUCCGGAUUUAUUGGGCGUAAAGGGGGCGCAGGCUGCUUCUUAAGUCUGAUGUGAAAGCCCACGGCUUAACCGUGGAAGUGCAUUGGAAACUGGGAAGCUUGAGUACAGAAGAGGAAAGUGGAACUCCAUGUGUAGCGGUGGAAUGCGUCGAUAUAUGGAAGAACACCAGUGGCGAAAGCGACUUUCUGGUCUGUCACUGACGCUGAGGCCCGAAAGCGUGGGUAGCAAACAGG